Molecule: long non-coding RNA, 5078 nt
Filed under: Nicotiana tabacum (common tobacco)
Lineage: Eukaryota; Viridiplantae; Streptophyta; Magnoliopsida; Solanales; Solanaceae
Description: long non-coding RNA (NTAB_LNC005629)
Source: RNAcentral
CCGCUUGGCAUAUACAACUCAAUAUCGCGAAAGUCUACAAUAUCAUCCCCCAACACCCGGAAACUCACGGGAACACAAGCUAACAGAAUGUAAUACACUGCUCUAACUCUAGAAUGUCUAAAAACAACAGUACGAAAUGAAGGCUAACUACUAAGAGGUAGAAUAAGAUAUAGACUCCUUGGUCUGCGGAUGCGGCAGAUGUACCUUGAAGUCUUUGCUAGAUCUCUCCGCCUCGGGGGUGAUACGCCUGGGUGGAGGUACCUAGAUCUGCAUAUGAAAAACAUGCGCAGAAGGGGCAUGAGUACACCACAACGGUACUUAGUAAGUGCCAAGCCUAACCUCGGUCGGGUAGUGACGAGGAAGGUUAGGGCCCUACUGAGAUUAAACAUAAUAAUAAAUUUGCAACAUUAUAAAUAAACAGUAUAAAUGAGUAUAGUUAUGAAGUAAGACAGGGUGCACAAGGCAACAAAUAAUACACAGAGAAUAAGGUAACACAGAGUAAAACAGCUCAAUACCAGUAACAACAACGAGGAUCUCCCAAGAUACCUUCCUGUAGUCCAUUUCAUCAACUGUCCAAGGAUCUCGGGAUACAGUCCCGUAGUCCAUCAUAUGUGUAUGUCCGAAUGAUCUCCCGGGAUACCGUCCCGUAGUCCAACUAUCAGUGCGCGAGGAUCUACCAGAAUCCGUUUCGUAGUCCCAAAGUAAAUGUGCAGGGUGAUCUACCGGGAAUCUAACCCGUAGUCCCAAAGUAAAUGUGCAGGGGGGUCUACCAAAAAUCUAACCCGUAGUCCCAAAGUAAACAAACAAGGGGGGAAGCUAUCGGAAUCCCACAUCCGUAGUCCCAAUGUAAAUACGCAGCCACAACAAGAAAAUAUUUAGAAAUGGAGUACAAAAAUACAAGGCAACAGGUAGUUCUAGCCUAAUAUGCUUCACUUAAUACAAACAAAGCAACUUCAGCAAAUAGUCAAUUUAGGUCAACUAGGCAUGAUUUUCUAAUCUAAAAUAGGUUAUAUUUGCAAGUGGGAUAAAUCAGGUAAGAAAGAAACUCAGUCUGAAUAAUUAAAGUAAAACCGGAUUUUCAACAAUUAGCUCAAGUACGCGACCGUCACCUCGCGUACAAGGCAUUCAAUUACCAAAUAUCAUGUCCUAAGGAGAAAGGUCCCCCACACAAGGUUAGACAAGCCACUUAACUCAAACCGGCUCCAAAAUCAACUCGAAACCACACGUUUGCCACGCGUCUACGACUCCAAAUGGACCAAAUCUAUUCAAUUCAAUUACAUAUCAUAAAUAACAUCUCAAGCAAUUGAUUCUAUGAUUUAAUUCAAAGUUAAGACGCGAAAUAAGAUAAAAUGACCAAAACGCCCCUCAGGCCAAUGUCUUGAAAUCGGAUGAAAUUAACAUUUUCAGAAUCCUCGUACUCUCACGGGUCUAACCAUAUAAAAAACUCUCAAAUCGGAGGUCAAACACCCAGUCAAAACUCAAUAAUUCGGUCUAUGAAGUUUUACCAAUUUUUCAUUCAUAAAUCCAAAAUUAGAAGAGGAAUUCAUGCUUAGAUUAGUGGGUUACAAGAAAAAAAAAGUCUAGAAUUGUUACCCAAUCAUUGUCUCUGAAAAACCCUCAAAAUCUCGCUCAAAUCCGAGCUCUCAAGCUUGAGUUUUGAUAAAAAUGGCUAAACCCUCGGUUUUGAAAUGUUUAUAACUGCCCAGAUAUUUUAUGCAUUGUGAAUGCGGAGGAAGUCACGGGUUCGCGAAGAAGGAAAUUGAAGGUUACUAAAUUUUGCUUCGCGAACGCGGAAGCAGACUCGCAAACGCGGAAGAGGAAAAUAUGGUGGCCCAGGAUUACUCUUCGGGAACGCGUGGAACUAUACGCGAAUGUGAAGAGUGGACUUUGCAAAGUACGCGAACGCGAGAGUGGGUAUGCAAACGCGAUGAGGAAAAUAGUGAGAGCCCUCAGCGCCAAAUAGAACUACGCGAACGCGAGGGCUUGGUCAUGAAUGCGAAUGAGGAAAAAGGUGAAGCUUCGCGAACGCAGGAGGCUUCAUGUGAACGCGAAGGGUUAUCAGGUCCUCCUCCAAGAUUACUCUACGCGAAUGCGUGGAGGAGGACGCGACCGCGAAGAAGAAAAAGUCUGCAAUAGCUGAAGCCAAAAAUCUGUAAUUUUAAACAACUCCAAAAUGCCCCGUUGAGCAUCCGAAACACACCCGAGGCCCCCGAGACCGCAACCAAACCUACGGACAUAUCCCAUAACAUCAUUCAAACUUGUACCAAUCCUUAAACCACCUAAAACAAUGUUGGAAACUCAAAUUAAUCAAUAAUUUAAGCCUAAGAACUUCAAAUUCUCUCAAAACAUGCUUUCGAUCAAAACCCUAACCAAACCACGUCCGAAUGACCUGAAAUUUUACACGCACAUUCCAAAUGAAAUGAUGGAACUACUGCAACUUUCGGAACUCCAUUCCGACCCUUAGAUCAAAAUCUCACUAUUGGACCGGAAACUUCAAAAAUUCAAACUUUGGCAUUUCAAGCUUAAAUUAGCUAGGGACCUCCAAAACACAUUCCGACCAUGCUCCCAACCCCGAAAUCACCUAACGGAGCUAACAGAACCAUAAAAUUUCCAUUCUGAGUUCAUCUUCACACUGUUCUGACUACGGGCAACUUUCCAACACUUAAGCUCUCAUUUAGGGACUAAGUAUCCCAAAACUCUCUAAAACUCAAAACCGAACAUCCCAACAAUCCCAAUUAGCAGAAAAAGACUUGGGGAAAGCAGUUAAUAGGGUAUCGGGGCAUUAAUUCUUAAGACGACUGGUCGGGUCGUCACACAGUCACAAUAAUAAGUUAAGCCUCACCUAAAAGCAUUUCUACGAGUGUUCAUUUUGUAAAACCGCAAUCAUGUCACGUGAAUUCGUACAUGAUCACGAUGGUUUGAUUAAUUAAACGCGUCUAAAAGCAUAUUACUGUUUAAUUUCCUCGAAUGUCGGAUUAUAAGAGGGAAUUUCAAACCAAAGGCAUUAAAGUAAGAAAGGUUGUUGUAAUUAACUCACUUAGAAAAUAAUCGGGCUUAGUCGUAACAUUUUAUUUUUAGCCAAACUAAUGAGAUAUACAAUAUUCCUCCUUCUCUUUAUCAAGGUUAACAAUUCUUUUUUUGGGGGGAGGGGGGAAGAGGGGUAGAUGACAUUAAAUUCCUACAACAACAUGGUCAAAGUCCAAAUGGGUUGUCCAGGUUUGUCUACCAGACAGGCUUUCAAAUCGGACUCGCUUAUGGAGUUUGGGCUCAUCCAGCUAAGCCUUAAAUAAACUAUCAGUUGGGUUCACUAUUAGAGCUCAAAUUCAAUUUAAGGGAGCUCUACUAAUUUGGUCUUGCAGAGUUACCAGGCCCAAUGCACAAUUUUAAUACAGAAACAGAUUUCUAUAGGAUUAUCACUCUGAAGCUAUAGAAUCAAAUAUGCAUGUAUUUAACUACAACAGGUUUAGAAUAAUACAAUAUGAUCAACUAUUGAAUUAACUUAUCAAUACAAAAGAGGUAUAAAAAUUAAAUCAUUACAAGUCAUUAACUAACUACAACCCAACAAGUUCCAUUCCUUUUAUAAAUAAGGAAGCAGAUUUGUACAUCACUACUCCUAACAACCUUCUUCAAAUAAUAUCCAGAAAGAAAAAAAUGAUUUAGGCUAGUGACUUUUCAAUUCCCUUAUUGAUCUUGAUUUACUGAGAUAUCCACUAGGCUACUCUCAUAAAUCACUUGGCCACCAGCAGUAGCUAAAAACACAAAUGCAAAAAAGAAUAGUCUAACUGUUGAGUAAUUCCUGAGUUUAAUUAAAGAACAAUUCCAUUUAAAAAAUCAUAGAGAUCAACACAAACUGAUUUCACUAAUCAGCCCCGCAAACACCAUUUCAAAUACGAACCACCUAUUUCAGGAAAUAAGUCAUUAUACAGGGAACAAUCAAUCAAACAUGGAGAUGUUUUGAGCAUGAAAUAACCUUUAAACUAGAUCAAUGACCUAUCUAUGACAUUAGACUUGAAUCAUGACUAAACUAAAAGAUAACAUGUAAUUGAAAUGAUUUAGGAGCACAGUAGGAUCAACAAAGUAAAACUCCUCAUUUCAGGUUGUGUAAAAGUAAAAGCAUCACACCAACGCCUCUGAACUUCUUAAGCUCAUAUUGACACUCGAAUUAAUAAUGACUUUGAACCCAACGAGUCAACAUAGCCUACAUAUUCAGCUUAAAAUGAAUUAAUAUAAUCAUAUAACCAUCAAGAGAAACAUAGAUGAAUCAGAUCUAAGCAUACCAAUAUCAGAAACACAUAAAAAUAGAUGUAGACAUGGCAUCAAUAUGUUAAUUCUGCAUUUCCACAUUCACAAAAGUUACAAGAAGGAAUCUCACAUACCUAUUUGUGAAAGACAAUCAACAAAAGCCAAAAGGGCUGAAAACUGAAGAAUAAGCUCAGCAAACUCAAAGAAAACAACAGCAAGAUAACAGAAGAUCAAUAAGGAAAUCCCAGAAUGAAACUUGACCUCAAUUCUAAAUCAGCUUCAGAAAACCAAGGUUGAUCCAGAAAAGAAACCAAACAUAUGAAACCAUUUUUUUCAAUCAGUAUAUGAAAGAAACUGAAACUUGUAAAAGAAAAUUUCUAAGGUAAAAUUUUGCCUCCAAAUCAGUCUAAAGGUGAGAGAAAAGAAGCUGAAUUUCAGAGAGAGGUUUUCGGUGUGUGUAAUCUGUAUGUAUGUCUGUCUAUGUGAGUGAUAUAUGGCCCUUUAUAUAGAAUAUAAGAGUGUGACUUUGUGAGAAAAAUCAGAGGGGUGUGAAAGAAUCUUUUGGGAAUUCUGUCAGCUGAAAUUUAGGGAUGGGGCAUCUUUUCUAUCAAAAAAUGUAGAUUUUUCUCAUGUAUUUUAGGUCCAUUUACUUCUGAACUUACUCAUUUUUUUUACCCCAAUAUGAUGCAGUUUUCAGUUAUUUUAUUACACUUUAGUCCUUUUUCUAGAAACUUCCUAGACAAUUCCAAACGUAGGCUCCUUAAUUUUGUUUCCAAUUAACCAUCCUAAAGUUUCUGUUAUUACCCUUUCACUCUCCCAGAUUCUAAUAAGCAUUC